RNAcentral lists this ribosomal RNA (118 nucleotides) under Crocodylus porosus (Australian saltwater crocodile). The record is from RNAcentral. Lineage: Eukaryota; Metazoa; Chordata; Crocodylia; Crocodylidae.
ACCUUCCCUGAUCUGGUCUGAUUGCACCCGAUCCCAUCCAAUUUUGGAAGCUAAGCAGUCCUGGGCCCGGCUAGUACCUGGAUGGGAGACUGCCUGGGAAUCCUGGGUGCUGUAGGCC